ACGGCGAGUGAACCGGGAAGAGCUCAAAUUUGAAAUCUGGCGUCCUCAGGGCGUCCGAGUUGUAAUCUAUAGAGGCGUUUUCCGUGCCGGACCGUGUCCAAGUUCCUUGGAACAGGAUAUCAAAGAGGGUGACAAUCCCGUACUUGACACGAUGACCGGUGCUCUGUGAUACGUCUUCUACGAGUCGAGUUGUUUGGGAAUGCAGCUCAAAAUGGGUGGUGAGUUCCAUCUAAAGCUAAAUAUUGGCGAGAGACCGAUAGCGAACAAGUACCGUGAGGGAAAGAUGAAAAGCACUUUGGAAAGAGAGUUAAACAGUACGUGAAAUUGUUGAAAGGGAAACGAUUGAAGUCAGUCGUGACUGAGAGGCUCAGCCGGUUCUGCCGGUGUAUUCCCCUCAGUCGGGUCAACAUCAGUUUUGUCCGGUGGAAAAGGGCGGUAGGAACGUGGCACCUCCGGGUGUGUUAUAGCCUGCCGUCGCAUACAUCGGGUGAGACUGAGGAAUGCAGCUCGCCUUUAUGGCCGGGGUUCGCCCACGUCCGAGCUUAGGAUGUUGACAUAAUGGCUUUAAACGACCCGUCUUGAACCACC
Molecule: ribosomal RNA, 588 nt
Filed under: Papiliotrema rajasthanensis
Lineage: Eukaryota; Fungi; Basidiomycota; Tremellomycetes; Tremellales; Rhynchogastremaceae
Description: LSU rRNA
Rfam family: Eukaryotic large subunit ribosomal RNA
Source: RNAcentral